GACGAACGCUGGCGGCGUGCUUAACACAUGCCAGUCGAACGGAAAGGCCCUGCUUUUGUGGGGUGCUCGAGUGGCGAACGGGUGAGUAACACGUGAGUAACCUGCCCUUGACUUUGGGAUAACUUCAGGAAACUGGGGCUAAUACCGGAUAGGAGCCCCUGCUGCAUGGUGGGGGUUGGAAAGUUUCGGCGGUUGGGGAUGGACUCGCGGCUUAUCAGCUUGUUGGUGGGGUAGUGGCUUACCAAGGCUUUGACGGGUAGCCGGCCUGAGAGGGUGACCGGCGACAUUGGGACUGAGAUACGGCCCAGACUCCUACGGGAGGCAGCAGUGGGGAAUAUUGCACAAUGGGCGGAAGCCUGAUGCAGCAACGCCGCGUGCGGGAUGACGGCCUUCGGGUUGUAAACCGCUUUCGCCUGUGACGAAGCGUGAGUGACGGUAAUGGGUGAAGAAGCACCGGCUAACUACGUG
Molecule: ribosomal RNA, 468 nt
Filed under: uncultured bacterium
Lineage: Bacteria
Description: partial 16S ribosomal RNA
Rfam family: Bacterial small subunit ribosomal RNA
Source: RNAcentral